Arabidopsis thaliana (thale cress) is the source of this 1073-nucleotide non-coding RNA. The record is from RefSeq. Lineage: Eukaryota; Viridiplantae; Streptophyta; Magnoliopsida; Brassicales; Brassicaceae.
AAACAAUGUAAUUAUAUAACUCAAGAGUUAGAGAACUACCUUUUUUUUUUCUCUCUCUUAUUUUUCUCCCUUCUCUCUUCAACUCGCCGCUGCUUGUGUUCUUCGUCUCCGACCGGCGCGUGUGGGCCACCAUGGUCACGGCGUCGGUUGGUUCUUUCAGUUUUUGUUUAGUUAUCUAGUUUCAUGUCUUUGUGUGGAGAGAUCUGUGGAUUGGUUUCAUUUUGAUUCCUUCUCUGCUUUUUUCUCUUUUUAGAUCUAGAUUUUUGUUACUUAAAUUUUGUUGCAGGUUCUUGUUUCUUCUUUGCCUGAGUCCUCCUUGGCCCUAACCGCGUUGGCUCUAAGCCACUCAUUGUCGAUGUGUGGUGAUUCGGUUUGGGCGACCUAAUUUUUAGGUUUUCUCACACAGCUUCAACAAAUGGAUCUAGGGCAAGAUCCGCCUAAGUUUGGGUCCUUUACCGGUUCACGUCCAUUGGUUGACACAUCCGGUCCGGCGAUUCCGACGGUCUCUGCAUGUUUUUGCCGAGAUUCUACCGUCCCGCCAUCCAAGGUAUCCCAAGGUUUUUUCUUCUGAAGACUCUUAAUUAUCAAGUGAGGCUAGUAGAUCGGAAUUUUUUGGGUUGGUUGUCAGCUCCUUCGGCGACCUCCUGCUUGUUUUGCGUUCUCGGUUGGCUCGGGUAGUAAGAAAUUUGGUUCUCUGCGUCAUAUCCUUUCAAUAAAGUUUAGAUCUUUUUAGUUUUAUGUCUUUUCUUGUCUCCCUAUGUUGGGAUUUAGUUUCUGGGGGUUAGAGUCCCGCCGGCUUAGUUUUUGGGGGUUAAAGUCUCGCCGGCAUCUGUAUUCCACCUUGUUUGAAGAUCGUUGUGCAAUCCAAGGAGUUUUCCUCUUAGCUAAAGGUGUCACAAUGGCGGACCGAUCGCAGUCUUUUGUAGCAGUACGCUACUCCUUUUGGCUACAGAAGGUGCUUGAAAUUGAUAAAUCCAUUACAUUGUUGUAAUGAUUUUCUGUAGUUUGAUUGCUUUCGUUUCCUCUUUGUAAUUGUGAACAAGUUGUUGUUAAUAUCAUGAAUCAUUCAGACG